AUGGUAGUCUGUUUCCACGUUCUUCAUCUUGGGUUAUCAGAAAUUGGUUUCACUGUGAAUAAACAGGCAGGAGGUAAGGUCCUUGGUAAUCUGGAUUCAAAUACCCAUUCUCUCUCUUAUUAGUUGUAUGGUUUUUGUCAGGUAUAUGCUCACUAUAUUUGUUUUGUUAUUUUUUAGGGGUGGCUUUAGAGCAGAGAACCGUAAGAGAAUGGAAUUCUAGAUGCUUAGAAGCUAGAGUUUUAAAGCAUUCUUGAGGAACAUUGAGCUAGUUUCCUACUUUCUUAAAGGAGGGAAAAGGGUCUCAGUAAAGUUCUAUGGGUCUUCUAAUUAAGUAACAAGGAGAUAAACCAGAAUGCUGAAUCUCAGAUGUGAGGUUGGAGUGAAUAACCAGGGCUGGGUUUUGAAGAGCCUAGUAUGCCAGGUUGAGGAAUUUAACUUUAUUCUAAAGAUAAUGAAAAUCUUUAAGGAGAUGUGCAUUUUGGAAAGGUAUAGGGCCUGUAUGGAGAAUGGCCAGGAGAAGACGAGGCUGGGAUGUGGGUUGGAAGCUGCUGCAGUGAUCCAGCACAGUGUAUGAAGAUGGAAAAGAGAAGGUGCAUCUGAGAUGUAGUAAAGAGCAGGAGAGACUUGACACAGAAAGCACAGUCCUGUCGUUGAGGAACCUGGAACAAGUUGGGGAGGUGCAGCCGAGUAGCGUCUGAGCCAGCUGCUAACUGCAUCAUUCCUGGAAUUCUUCAUCCACAUUCCCGAGCCAGCUCAUCUAUUUUGUGCCAGGACACAUCGUAUAUCUCCGACUUGGCUGCCUUGGGUCAUGGUCUCCUUGUGGUCCAAUCUGCAGGGCCAAGGAGGGAGGGCACCAACGUGGCCAGCACAAAGCUAUCCCUUCUGCCAGUGCCCUGGGUGAUGCAGGCACCACUGUUAGACAGUGCUACAAUCCCAGAUUAAUUUUUUUUUUAUGUUUACUCAUGCUUGAGUUUCCUUUGUUGACCUUUGUUACUGUUGCCUAGAGGUCUAUUAAGGGUCCUUAAAAAUUCCUCAGGCACCCAGCCUGGUUCAUUGUGGAUGCUCCUACGCGUUGCCUGGCAGGGGGAGGGCCAUUCAUAGUUAAACAAACAAUAAGUCAUUUCCUGCUCCCUCUUUAGUCUCACCUUUCAACAAAGAAGGGAGGGGGGACCAUAUUUAAUAAACACCAUCCAUUAGAUUAGAUCAACAGUCUCCAAAUAUUGCAUUUCUUCCAGAAACAGUAUCUCUCCUGCCCUCACAGAAGAGCAUGUGGUCAAGAGGAAAUUGAAUAAAAUCCUUUAAUCAGCCGCAGUAGUAUUUGAAUCAUUUAAUUUAGGAUCUGACAACCACAAAUUACUUUAUUUUUCAGGCCAAUUUUAGCUGACCAGGAGAGCUGGCCCAGUCCGACUCAUGCUUAAUAAAUCACCCCCUUGCCUGAUGGUGGAAAGUUUGGGGAAGAGAUUUUUCUGGGGCUUUUCAAACAAAAUCAAAAACAAUCUGCCGUGCUGUGUGUGCCUCACAUCAGUGCUUGGCUAUGCUCCCUUUGCAUGGCUCUGUGGCUGUAAAGUGAACCCUCGGGCUGGAGGGAGUCAGGGACUCGAGGCAGGGAGCUGUCACCUCCUCAGCCUAUGCCUUUUAUUCCUGGCUCCGAAUUCUCAUGGCCAGGAAAACAAGUCAAAUCAGAUUAGUUGCCAGACAU
Long non-coding RNA from Equus caballus (horse), 1699 nucleotides. Lineage: Eukaryota; Metazoa; Chordata; Mammalia; Perissodactyla; Equidae. The record is from Ensembl.